GGCGUAAUAGUUUAAGUAGUUAAAACCUCUGUCUCAUAAGCAGAUAAUACAAGUGCAACUCUUGUUAACGCCA
This 73-nucleotide transfer RNA is filed under the name Pseudomonadota bacterium. RNAcentral's name for it is "Proteobacteria bacterium (activated sludge metagenome) tRNA-Met". It matches the Rfam family "tRNA". Rfam says of the family: Transfer RNA (tRNA) molecules are approximately 80 nucleotides in length. Their secondary structure includes four short double-helical elements and three loops (D, anti-codon, and T loops). Further hydrogen bonds mediate the characteristic L-shaped molecular structure. tRNAs have two regions of fundamental functional importance: the anti-codon, which is responsible for specific mRNA codon recognition, and the 3' end, to which the tRNAs corresponding amino acid is attached (by aminoacyl-tRNA synthetases). tRNAs cope with the degeneracy of the genetic code in two manners: having more than one tRNA (with a specific anti-codon) for a particular amino acid; and 'wobble' base-pairing, i.e. permitting non-standard base-pairing at the 3rd anti-codon position. Lineage: Bacteria; Pseudomonadati; Pseudomonadota. The record is from RNAcentral.